GCGCUUUACAGUGGGUGGACGAACAAACCUGUAGUUGUAACCAGACAAGUUGGACACACAGGAACAGAGGGGUUGAGGGCCCAGCUCAAUGAGCUUACAAGCUAGAGUGAGUGGGGUAGUAAGUGACACAAAAGGUAAGGAUAGUAUUAGACUAAUGACAGUUGCAAGAGAGGAAUCAAUUGGGAGCUAUUAAUAGUUUAAUUGAUA
Pelobates cultripes (western spadefoot toad) is the source of this 207-nucleotide non-coding RNA. NCBI's taxonomy places the organism in Eukaryota, Metazoa, Chordata, Amphibia, Anura, Pelobatidae. The record is from the annotation of a GenBank genome assembly.